GGAAAGGAGGCUCAGGGACCUUCCCGCUCUCCACAGCUCCCGGAGAGGGGCUGCGGCCGGGCGGCGGCGGCUCUCUUCUCCGAGAUAACCAUCAACAAUACGGGGAAAUGGAGUCAAGAUGCACCAGGGGAGGUUUAACUUUGGAUACUUGGAAAAAUUUCUUCACUGUCUGGCUGCCCAGGGCAGUGUUUGGGUCACCACCGCUGAAGGUCUUUAAAAGACACGUGGAUGCGGCACUUGGGGACACGGUUUAGUGACGGACAUGGCUGUGCUGGAUGAACGACUGGACUCGGUGGUCUCACAGGUCCUUUGCCAGGCCUGAAGACCCCGUGAUUCCAUGGAAUGCCCCGCUCCCUGGAAAUUCGUUCUGUGGGCGCCGAAAAUACGGCGAAGAGCAACGGCGACAUCCAGCGGCGGCACGGGGCGCCUCGCAGGCCGGGCCCGCCGCGGGAGCGCCGCGCCGAGCGGCCAUCCAGGGAGUUCUCUAAAGGAUCAUGAAGGCGGGACAAAACAGCCAGGAUCAAGUGACAACUCAAGGACUGGUGUCAAAGGAGGCUAUGGGAAUGCACAUGGAAUUUUUGCUGUGAGCUAUGAGCUCCAUGGGGUGGACAGCAGAGGCAAACACAUUUCUACUGUCCCCAGGUGA
Long non-coding RNA from Chloebia gouldiae (Gouldian finch), 646 nucleotides. The record is from Ensembl. NCBI's taxonomy places the organism in Eukaryota, Metazoa, Chordata, Aves, Passeriformes, Passeridae.